Molecule: long non-coding RNA, 302 nt
Filed under: Helianthus annuus (common sunflower)
Lineage: Eukaryota; Viridiplantae; Streptophyta; Magnoliopsida; Asterales; Asteraceae
Description: sRNA HanXRQr2_Chr04g0148211
Source: RNAcentral
GUGCAUCAGCUCCAUUCCACAUGGUCCACUAUAAAUUCCCUAAACACCAUGAACUAUUAAACAACAUAUCGAUAACAAAUGAACGAUGCGUGAUUGAAAUGUUACCUCUUUGUAGAACAUGAAACCGUCACCGCCAGGAUCCAUUUGAAAAGUUACAGGCUGAUGUGCCACUGCUUUCAAUAGCGCUUCUUCAUCGUGUUCUGGCAAAUACUCGGUUCCAUCAACAGUUACCGAGUGAUGACCAUACUGAUGUAUCGCAUGUUUCCCUUUUACCUACAUAAGGGUAGAACUCAUCUGUAGCU